AUUGAACGCUGGCGGCAGGCCUAACACAUGCAAGUCGAGCGGAUGAAGGGAGCUUGCUCCUGGAUUCAGCGGCGGACGGGUGAGUAAUGCCUAGGAAUCUGCCUGGUAGUGGGGGAUAACGUCCGGAAACGGGCGCUAAUACCGCAUACGUCCUGAGGGAGAAAGUGGGGGAUCUUCGGACCUCACGCUAUCAGAUGAGCCUAGGUCGGAUUAGCUAGUUGGUGGGGUAAAGGCCUACCAAGGCGAGGAUCCGUAACUGGUCUGAGAGGCUGAUCAGUCACACUGGAACUGAGACACGGUCCAGACUCCUGCGGGAGGCAGCAGUGGGGAAUAUUGGACAAUGGGCGAAAGCAUGAUCCAGCCAUGCCGCGUGUGUGAAGAAGGUCUUCGGAUUGUAAAGCACUUUAAGUUGGGAGGAAGGGCAGUAAGUUAAUACCUUGCUGUUUUGACGUUACCAACAGAAUAAGCACCGGCUAACUUCGUG
RNAcentral lists this ribosomal RNA (484 nucleotides) under uncultured bacterium. RNAcentral describes it as "partial 16S ribosomal RNA". It matches the Rfam family "Bacterial small subunit ribosomal RNA", at positions 30 to 507 of the family's 1533-position model. The record is from RNAcentral.